CUAACACAUGCAAGUCGAACGGUAACAGGAAGCAGCUUGCUGCUUUGCUGACGAGUGGCGGACGGGUGAGUAAUGUCUGGGAAACUGCCUGAUGGAGGGGGAUAACUACUGGAAACGGUAGCUAAUACCGCAUAACGUCGCAAGACCAAAGAGGGGGACCUUCGGGCCUCUUGCCAUCGGAUGUGCCCAGAUGGGAUUAGCUAGUAGGUGGGGUAACGGCUCACCUAGGCGACGAUCCCUAGCUGGUCUGAGAGGAUGACCAGCCACACUGGAACUGAGACACGGUCCAGACUCCUACGGGAGGCAGCAGUGGGGAAUAUUGCACAAUGGGCGCAAGCCUGAUGCAGCCAUGCCGCGUGUAUGAAGAAGGCCUUCGGGUUGUAAAGUACUUUCAGCGGGGAGGAAGGGAGUAAAGUUAAUACCUUUGCUCAUUGACGUUACCCGCAGAAGAAGCACCGGCUAACUCCGUGCCAGCAGCCGCGGUAAUACGGAGGGUGCAAGCGUUAAUCGGAAUUACUGGGCGUAAAGCGCACGCAGGCGGUUUGUUAAGUCAGAUGUGAAAUCCCCGGGCUCAACCUGGGAACUGCAUCUGAUACUGGCAAGCUUGAGUCUCGUAGAGGGGGGUAGAAUUCCAGGUGUAGCGGUGAAAUGCGUAGAGAUCUGGAGGAAUACCGGUGGCGAAGGCGGCCCCCUGGACGAAGACUGACGCUCAGGUGCGAAAGCGUGGGGAGCAAACAGGAUUAGAUACCUGGGUAGUUCACGCCGUAAACGAUGUCGACUUGGAGGUUGUGCCCUUGAGGCGUGGCUUCCGGAGCUAACGCGUUAAGUCGACCGCCUGGGGAGUACGGCCGCAAGGUUAAAACUCAAAUGAAUUGACGGGGGCCCGCACAAGCGGUGGAGCAUGUGGUUUAAUUCGAUGCAACGCGAAGAACCUUACCUGGUCUUGACAUCCACGGAAGUUUUCAGAGAUGAGAAUGUGCCUUCGGGAACCGUGAGACAGGUGCUGCAUGGCUGUCGUCAGCUCGUGUUGUGAAAUGUUGGGUUAAGUCCCGCAACGAGCGCAACCCUUAUCCUUUGUUGCCAGCGGUCCGGCCGGGAACUCAAAGGAGACUGCCAGUGAUAAACUGGAGGAAGGUGGGGAUGACGUCAAGUCAUCAUGGCCCUUACGACCAGGGCUACACACGUGCUACAAUGGCGCAUACAAAGAGAAGCGACCUCGCGAGAGCAAGCGGACCUCAUAAAGUGCGUCGUAGUCCGGAUUGGAGUCUGCAACUCGACUCCAUGAAGUCGGAAUCGCUAGUAAUCGUGGAUCAGAAUGCCACGGUGAAUACGUUCCCGGGCCUUGUACACACCGCCCGUCACACCAUGGGAGUGGGUUGCAAAAGAAGUAGGUAGCUUAACCUUCGAGAGGGCGCUUACCACUUUGUGAUUCAUGACUGGGGU
RNAcentral lists this ribosomal RNA (1443 nucleotides) under uncultured organism. RNAcentral's name for it is "SSU rRNA". It matches the Rfam family "Bacterial small subunit ribosomal RNA". The record is from RNAcentral.